UACGAAGGGGGCUAGCGUUGUUCGGAAUUACUGGGCGUAAAGGGCGCGUAGGCGGUGCUCUAAGUCAGGCGUGAAAGCCCCGGGCUCAACCUGGGAAUUGCGCUUGAUACUGGGGCGCUUGAGUUCGGGAGAGGCGGGUGGAAUUCCCAGUGUAGAGGUGAAAUUCGUAGAUAUUGGGAAGAACACCGGUGGCGAAGGCGGCCCGCUGGACCGAUACUGACGCUGAGGCGCGAAAGCGUGGGGAG
RNAcentral lists this ribosomal RNA (245 nucleotides) under uncultured bacterium. Its description in RNAcentral is "partial 16S ribosomal RNA". It matches the Rfam family "Bacterial small subunit ribosomal RNA", at positions 524 to 768 of the family's 1533-position model. The record is from RNAcentral.